Molecule: small RNA, 179 nt
Filed under: Sus scrofa (pig)
Lineage: Eukaryota; Metazoa; Chordata; Mammalia; Artiodactyla; Suidae
Description: 7SK RNA (ENSSSCG00070018206.1)
Source: RNAcentral
GCACAUGGAUGUUGCACGUGCAUCCCUCCUGAAGCUGUGCUCUCGGUCAAAGAGGACAACCAUCCCCAGGAGAAGAGGACUUUCUUCGGCCAAGGGCACACUAGUAGCUGCGCUGGGAAUUCCCGUUGUGACUCAGCAGGUUAGGAACCCGAAGAGUAUCCGUGGCAAUGAGGAUCCCU